CCCAAAUAGACAUCCACAGCGAUCAAACUCUUUCUCUCACAGAAAACGAGCUGUAUUCUCUACUGCCAUGGCUUCCAGGUUGCUAUUCCUCAGAAGGCUCCCAAGGCUUUUAAAGCCUUCUUCUUCUUCUUCGAUCCGUAGAUUCAGUUUUCUGCUUCUAGAAGCUUCGAGGUCUGAGACCACUCGGUGGUCUCCUGCUUGUAGAACCUUCUGCUCUCGUCCACUGAAUCUUGGAGACGACCUUCAAGGCCCCGCCGCCAUUGAUUACAGUUCUGUACUGCAGGAGGAUGAGUUUCACAGGCUAAGCAAUUCCACAAUACAUCACCUCCUAGAGAAACUCGAGGAAUACGGUGAUAAUGUUGAAAUAGAUGGCUUUGACGUAGACUAUGGGAAUGAGGUGUUAACCUUGAAACUUGGGGAUCUGGGUACCUAUGUGUUGAACAAACAAACACCAAAUAGACAAAUUUGGCUAUCUUCCCCGGUGAGGAUGUGUCAGACUUCAAAUAGCUUACCCUCCAACAUUUGUUGCACUUUCAAGCUUUGAUCAACCUGAAAAUAGUUGAUGCUAUCACAACUCAGUAAGUAAUUAAUUCUAUGGCCAAUGAGAUGAAGAUCUUGCUCAAAAAUAAAGAAUUACAGAACUUAAAUCAUCUCAGCAAAGAGAAUCCUGCUUGUUGAAUUCUGCAACUCCAAUCUCUUCUCCCUUACAAACUCUCUGAAGCUCCCAAAAUACUAAAACUGAGUGGUCCGGCUAGGUUUGAUUGGGAUCGGACCGCUCAAACUUGGGUCUAUAGGCGGACGAAAGCAGAUUUGCUGAAAUUGUUAGAAGGUGAGCUGGAGCAACUGUGUGGCGAGCCCGUUGGUCUUUCUUAGAUU
Alnus glutinosa is the source of this 876-nucleotide RNA transcript. It is a transcript of the gene named frataxin, mitochondrial, with no coding region annotated. The transcript is spliced from 6 exons. NCBI's taxonomy places the organism in Eukaryota, Viridiplantae, Streptophyta, Magnoliopsida, Fagales, Betulaceae. The record is from RefSeq and is a predicted model, not a curated record.